AUACUUACCUGGACGGGGUCAAUGGGUGAUCACGAAGACACAUGGCCUAGGCUUGUGACUUUAAUUGCACUUUGGAGGGGUGCUUGCCUAAGGUCGGCCCAAGUGGUCGAGCCUACGUCAUAAUUUGUUGCUGAGGGCCCUGCGUUCGCGCGGCCCCUGC
This 160-nucleotide small nuclear RNA is filed under the name Solanum tuberosum (potato). Its description in RNAcentral is "snRNA U1". It matches the Rfam family "U1 spliceosomal RNA". From Rfam's summary of the family: U1 is a small nuclear RNA (snRNA) component of the spliceosome (involved in pre-mRNA splicing). Its 5' end forms complementary base pairs with the 5' splice junction, thus defining the 5' donor site of an intron. Lineage: Eukaryota; Viridiplantae; Streptophyta; Magnoliopsida; Solanales; Solanaceae. The record is from Rfam by way of RNAcentral.